Molecule: transfer RNA, 73 nt
Filed under: Phytohabitans flavus
Lineage: Bacteria; Bacillati; Actinomycetota; Actinomycetes; Micromonosporales; Micromonosporaceae
Description: tRNA-Thr
Source: RNAcentral
GCCAGCGCAGCACGACGGGUGGUGCACGCGUCUCGUAAGCGCGCGGAGGGAGUUCGAGCCUCCCCGCUGGCUC